AUGAUGUAUAAUUCAAGCAUGCUUGGUGAUCUCAAACCAAUCACAAGGAGUCCCACCCAAAGGAAAAGCGAACCAAGAUGCUCAUGAUCCUUGAGGCUACGCAAAUGCAAUGUUACUAUGCCAUGAGGGAUCUUAGGGUCAAAAUUGGGGUCUUACAGGGUACUACCCAACCCAUGAAUGAAUUUUUCUUUAUUCAAUUGAAAGAUGUGGCUACCUGUAGAUUCAGGUUCGAGGAAGCUUUUGGAAGAAGCCGUAAGAGUAAUCCUUCC
Molecule: long non-coding RNA, 269 nt
Filed under: Lathyrus oleraceus (garden pea)
Lineage: Eukaryota; Viridiplantae; Streptophyta; Magnoliopsida; Fabales; Fabaceae
Description: Pisum sativum (pea) long non-coding RNA (PSAT_LNC034598)
Source: RNAcentral